AAAGAAAAGAAGAAAAGGAGGAAGAAAAGAGGAAGGAGAAGAGGAAGAAGGGAGGAGGCGGCGGCGGCUUCCAGCCGGUGGGGGCAGGCUCCGGAGGCGCGCGAAGCCGGCCGAGGGUGCUGCUGGCGCCGGCGAGCCCAGCAGCGGCGGCGGCGACGUUAGCAGCAGCAAAAAAAAAAAAGAAGGGAGCGUUGUGGCUGUCGGCGCCGUUCCGGCCGUUUCCGACGUCCUUUGGCGGCGAGGUCGGUCUUGUCUUGACCGGUGAGUUGAGGGCUUCCUUUUGGUGGCGGUGGCGUCGGCUUUGGUGGCCGGAGGAGGGAUUUUCCGGCCAGGUGAUGGCAGCCGCGUUUUCCGGAUUUUCCGGCGAGCUCCGGCGGAGGAUGGACGAUCGGAGAACGUAUCCCGACUCUCCUCAGCUCAAGCUUCGCAAUGGCACCAGUUUCGUGGCGAUCGGACUUCGUUUGCAAAUCGACGGCCGAGAUCGUCCGCAAAUCUCUCUGGAUGAUCGGGGGUCGGAUCGGAAAAUUGGAAGUGGGGAUCGUCAUCAGCGCGUCGUUUCGAGUCUGAUGGUGUGUUCGGAUCGUCAAUCGGACUCCGGCGGCUAAAAGCAAGUCGACUGAGGAAUCAAGCGUCUCGAUAAUCCGUCUGUUCGGCUCGCUCCAACCGAGGCACCGGAGCAAAGCUAGGAGGUCGCCUAAGCUAUUCGUGACUGUUAAUCUUCCCGUGACUCUUAUUCAGUAACCUGACUCCUUUAUCAUCAAAUGGUGUAUUUGAUUUGGUAUGUUAAUUUGUAAAAUCUUAGAUUAUCUGCAGUAGUAAUAGUAGAUGUUUCAGUUGUAAAUUUUCUGAGUUUCGGGUCUCGCCAAAUUCUUCUAGCAGACCGAAUUAAUUGUGUAAAAUUCAAUGGUUCCGAUAAAGUGUGGCAUUAAUAACAUUAAAUGAGAUGAGAUUUAUUUAA
This is a long non-coding RNA of Ricinus communis (castor bean), 958 nucleotides long. RefSeq lists it as uncharacterized. The transcript is spliced from 3 exons. Lineage: Eukaryota; Viridiplantae; Streptophyta; Magnoliopsida; Malpighiales; Euphorbiaceae. The record is from RefSeq and is a predicted model, not a curated record.